Molecule: non-coding RNA, 75 nt
Organism: Myotis davidii
Lineage: Eukaryota; Metazoa; Chordata; Mammalia; Chiroptera; Vespertilionidae
Source: Rfam
GGCAGUUCACAGGUGAUGUAUCCCGGAAUUGGGCUCCCUCCUCUCUGGUUCCAGUUGCAUCACCUAAAAACUGCA